Non-coding RNA from Podarcis lilfordi (Lilford's wall lizard), 3954 nucleotides. Lineage: Eukaryota; Metazoa; Chordata; Lepidosauria; Squamata; Lacertidae. The record is from the annotation of a GenBank genome assembly.
GAAGUGAAGCUCUCCCCACUAAUUAGUUCUACAGGAGUCAGGGUCAAACAUGUCCACAUAUAUUUUAUUUAGGCAGAGGCACCCCCUGCCAUGCAACACUUUACAGAAGACAUAUUCACCUGCCCUUCCCAUUAUGUCAUAUGGCCUUUCUUUCCCAACAGACCUUGGGCUGUAGUUCUAAAUGUCUCUGAACAGGAACAGGAAGUGUCACCACAAUGGUAAACGUCCUAGCUGCCUAGGGGCCAAGACUACAAUGGAAUCCAUUGUGUUUGCUGUGGGGAGCAGAGACCUUAAUGUGAUCUGGGAGCAUGCUCAGUGCUUCUGAGAAAGAUUGGACUAUGGAGAGUCCUAGAAGACUGCCAUUUUUGUAAUUUGCACAACAUACUUGUUACUCGUUAUUGUUCAAAUAAGUUCAUGAUUUUAACAUUUGGCCAACCUUUUAUAAGUAGGCAGAUUUUGAUGGUGGAAACUUCCACCUACUUCAUUUCAGGAUUUCUUUGGAGCAGGGAGAGGCUGAUUUUUAAGGGGUGGCAUGUUCAGCUCUUGCGAGUCAUCCACCUCUUUUAUGCCCUUUCCAAGUAAGGGUUCAGAGCUGCAUUUCAUAAUUAAAACUUAAGUACCUGUUGUGUUUGGAAAGCCUACACGUGGCUUUUGAUAAACUGGUUAAUGAACAAUAAAGUUUAAUUGGGUGUAUUAUUGUGCAGUACACAUGAACAUCUAAAUGUAAGACUGAAAGCAGAGCGCAAUGAAUGCAAAAUAAUGCAUGAAAUUGAGUAACUUUGUUGCUGUUAAAAUACAGCUUUGUCACCACACCCAGCCACCCAGAACUCAACUUUUUCUAGCCGUUCAGUUCUCAUUAAGGAAGCAGUAAAGCAGGUUUUCUUCCCCUAUAGAUUAAAAAUAAAAACAUUUCCUGAGCAAUUCAAAAGAGAUUACUAGUGAAUGUAUAUAAAAGUGUGUGUGUGUGUGUAUAGUUAUAACACAGGAGUGAAGAACCUGUGACCCUCCACAUGUUUGGACUACAACUCCCAUCCUCCCUAACUACUGGCUCUGCUGGCUGGGGUUGAUGGCACUGAAGUCCAACAAUGUUUGGAGGUUAAUAGUUCCCCCAUCCCUAAUUUAAUUUUUUUAAGUGCAGUACCAAACAGUGUUUCUAGGACUUGUUUGCCAAGGUUGGAGUCUCUGGGGCUUGGGGUACAAACCUCUGGGUCUGAGACCCAACCUACAGAACUACCGUAGACUGUGUCUGCUUGAGUCAUAGAAGCAUAGCGUCCUUGAGUCAUUUUCAGGUGCAGAGGGGAACAGCAGUCCAGAACACCAGCCUCUGUGACUGGCCAAUAGUAGCCUCUGGAGAAGGCCAUGCCUGGUAUUAAAGGGCCUGGCUUUCUGUAUUUCCCUCAUCAACAGAGUAGUUGAUACCUUCGACUUGCUCCAUCCAUCUCAAUAAAUUUACCUCUUGGACUGAGGAACGGAGAACACGCCCUCUAGGUCUAAUUUUGAGUGAGACCUUCCCUCUGGGUCUAGCCUGACCUCAACACCUACUCCUUUCACUCCAGUUAAUGUUUCUUCCUUGUGUCCACCCAACAUAUUACUAAGUUUACCUUCACAGAUUUACACUUUACAUCCUUCUUCUUAAAUACAUGAGCAGCUCACAAAUUGUAUUUCACUAAGGUGCUCCAUAACAUGGGAGCUCCCAGUGAUCCAGAUCUGGACCACGCUGUGGCAUAUAUCUCCAAUACAUUACGCCUUGUUACUUAAAAUAAUUACAUAAUGAUUGAGGCUCAGGGUAGAUGUCAUUCUGGGAGAUGUGUGGUCGUCUCUUGUGUGUAUGUCUGUGUUUUAAAGGGUAAAUGCAGCUGUGGAGGGACUUGGCUCAGAAUGGGGCUGAAGCACAUCGGGAAAGUGGAUUUAAUAUUCUCCAUUUGCUCUCUUUUCCCAAUCUGAAUUCUACCCUCCCUCGCUGCAACAUGCUAUUUGCCAUAAAGGGAGAAAGCUACAGGUACCCAUUUGGAAACAGUCCCAUGAUAGAGCUGUAAUUGGGGGGAGGGGGUUGUUCAUUGAUUCAUCAAGUUCCAGUUUUGCAUUUUAAAUUUGAAUGAGAAACUUGUGAAAGUCAAAAUAUGCUCUAUGUAUUUAUUAUAUUUGCACCCUUUGCUAGCCUGUAGGAUCAGGGAAGAUUUUCACACUUUUUCCAAAUGCAAACACUUGCAUCGCCAGGUGACUUGUCCUGGCUUUGGCAAGAAGUCCACGGGGCCUGAUGGGGCAAGGAAGUAUGUAGGGAAGCUGCAAGUGAGUAACCUCCUCCAGUUUGGGAGUGGCCUUUUAUUCUUCCUGAGCCAGAUUGCUCCUCCCACACUCUUGCCCACUUCUUGGAGAGUGAAAGGCCUUAAAGGGGCAGAUUUGUGAUCUGAGCACUCUUCCUCCUCCCUGACAACUCCCUCCAGCUCGUUACCUGUGCUGACAGGAUGACUUGGGGUUGCAGAUCCCUGGCCAGGAGGAAUUCAGUACAUUGAAGAUUUUGGGGGGUUCAGAUUCUUGGUGGCCCACAGCUCAAGGGCUCCCAAGUCAGUGGGCUUUGUCCGUGUCAUGACAUCAGGUCCUGGGUUGCUUUCCAGAACGUCUUCCAUUGGUCUGAUGGAUCUGACCUGCCUCUUGUUUGCGUUGGAGCCCAGGCUGCUGCACAGGGAGGCAGCCCUGCCAAUCCUUAAACUACUUGGCAUUGUAUGAUUGUUCUGACUCCACACAGUGUAAAAUAAAAUGUUCACUUGUUUAGAUAUCUUUUUGUUCAUCUACCAAAUACCACUCAAUGCUAAAUACCAUUCCAUGCCAGCUGUCAAAUACUGUCAGGUAUCAGAUGUCAUAUAGCAUAUUCAGUUAAUGUUGGCAAAUGUGAACUUCUUCUAGUGAAUAUUUCACACUGGAGUUUGGCAAGGGGUAAUUUUUGGAAGCAGCUUUUGUUUCCAUUUCUAUCACGAUUUCCUUUUUUGCCUGAAAGAUGGCUGUGGAUGUGGUGCUCUCCAUGGUGCUGACUCUCCUGUCUUUUUAAGGUUGGCAGUCGCAGCAUGCAGAGCCACAGUUGUGCUCAUUGGCCAGGACUGGAGGAAUGCUGGGGUGAUAUUAUCAUAUUGCUCUCCCUCAGCUGGAUGGAACACCAGGGUGCUAUCAUCACUGUCCUUGACCCCCGCAAAGGCUAAAAGAGACAGAAGCUGUAGAGCAGUACAGAAAACAUGUGGGCUGAUAAUAUGAUUUAAAGUUCCAGUUGUAAAGGUUUUCACCUGCUGGAAACCUGGGAUCCCUGUCACUAAUGCAUGUUAGGGGGCACAUUUGGAAAGCGUUUAACUGAUAUUGCAAAAAGUUCGCUCAACCAUACUUCACCCACUGUCCUUUUCUCCACGCUUUCUCUCUGUAGCAAGGAUCCUCAGGCUCUUCAAAUACUGUUAGAUUGCAUUAUCCCUGACCAUUGACCAUUCUAGCUGAGGCAGAUGGAAGCUGGGGUCAAACAAUAUCUGCAAGCCCACAUGUUUCUCUUUUCUCUGUGUCAAACUUUGGAAAGAGAUGCUUUUCUUCAAUGUACACCCGAGCUUUAAUGAAAAAAAAAAUAUUCAUUUCUUCUCCAAUGGAUCUUAUGCUUAUGUGACAAUAUAAAAUGGUUAUUUAGCUGGAAUUUUAUGCCCUUGGUUGGAGAAUGGGGGGAAAACCCCCUCAGCUAUCCAUUCUCUCCCCCCCCCAUUUCCAUUUGGCACACAUACAUUAGAUCGAUCUGUGUCCCAGACAGCUCUUUCUAAUUGGGUCUCUGCUUCCAUUUCUUAUUAUUAUACUUUUAGCAGAAUUGAAACUAGGGAGGUGGGGGUGGUCUGUCAAGACUCAUUCAGUCAAAUAUAUCACUGUGCCAGGAGCCAACCUUGGUGUAUUCCCACCAAGUUAAACAUGCAGUGCUGAGCUGCACUGAGGUUU